AGUGUGCUGGAAUUCGGCUUAGAGUUUGAUCCUGGCUCAGAACGAACGCUGGCGGCGCGUAUUAAGCAUGCAAGUCGGACGGUAGGGGAGGCCUUCGGGUUUCCUUGAGAGUGGCGGACGGGUGAGUAACACGUAGGUGAUCUACCUCUGGAUGGGGGAUAGCCCAUGGAAACAUGGGGUAAUACCGCAUAGAGUCUACGUUCAUAAGGGAUGUAGAUUAAAGGCGCAAUUGUGCUGUCCGGAGAUGAGCCUGCGGUCCAUUAGUUAGUUGGCAGGGUAAGAGCCUACCAAGGCGAUGAUGGGUAGCCGGCCUGAGAGGGUGUACGGUCACACUGGGACUGAGACACGGCCCAGACUCCUACGGGAGGCAGCAGCUAAGAAUAUUCCGCAAUGGGCGCAAGCCUGACGGAGCGACGCCGCGUGGACGAUGAAGGCCGAGAGGUUGUAAAGUCCUUUUGCAGAUGAAGAAUAAGGCGAGGAGUGGAACGUCUUGCUGAUGACGUUAGUCUGCGAAUAAGCCCCGGCCAAUUACGUGCCAGCAGCCGCGGUAACACGUAAGGGGCGAGCGUUGUUCGGAUUUAUUGGGCGUAAAGGGCGUGUAGGCGGUUUGGUAAGCCUGAUGUUAAAGGCCUUGGCUCAACCAAGGUUUGGCGUUGGGAACUGCGAGACUAGAGUUCAGGAGGGGGAGCUGGAAUUCCAGGUGUAGGGGUGAAAUCUGUAGAUAUCUGGAAGAACACCGGUGGCGAAGGCGAGCUCCUAGCCAUGGACUGACGCUGAGGCGCGAAAGCGUGGGGAGCGAACAGGAUUAGAUACCCUGGUAGUCCACGCUGUAAACGAUGUGCACUAGGCGUUGGGUGUGCAAGACAUUCAGUGCCGUAGCUAACGCGAUAAGUGCACCGCCUGGGGAGUAUGCCCGCAAGGGUGAAACUCAAAGGAAUUGACGGGGGCCCGCACAAGCGGUGGAGCAUGUGGUUUAAUUCGAUGGUACGCGAGGAACCUUACCAGGGCUUGACAUGUACCUGGAUGUCCAAGAGAUUGGGCAGCCUCGUUUCGAGGCGGGUACACAGGUGCUGCAUGGCUGUCGUCAGCUCGUGUUGUGAGAUGUUGGGUUAAGUCCCGCAACGAGCGCAACC
This 1133-nucleotide ribosomal RNA is filed under the name uncultured bacterium. Its description in RNAcentral is "bacterial SSU rRNA". It matches the Rfam family "Bacterial small subunit ribosomal RNA", at positions 1 to 1103 of the family's 1533-position model. The record is from RNAcentral.